ACGUCUUGUAAGUGUCCACUAAAAAACAGAAUUUUAUGCAAUACCAGCAAACAGUAAGUGUGAACUUCUCCGUUUACAUUCAUCUAAAGAAUUACGUAUUUUUUUAAAGUAAUCUGGAAGUCAAAAGAUUAUAGUCUAGAGAGUUCAAUCAUUGGAUUUUGGGAAGAAUUCAUCUUACUGAUAAAUAAUGAAUAGAGAAAAAAAAUACAAAAUAGGUUUUGGGUCAGUGCUAAAUAGGUUAGGAAUUGUUUGGCGUUGGUGUAGUGUUGGAGCAUUACUACUACUUGGUUCACUUCCAUUUAAAGGGUCUUGCUUGAAGAUAUCUUUGAAGCCAUAAACACAGUUGUCUUGAUUUCAAAUAGGGGUCAUGGGUUGAGCUAUUAAGCUGAACUUGUUGUUACGCCUCUGAACAUCUACCUCUUUCCUGUAGGUGUUGAUCCUGGUGCUUGUCGCCAUUCAUGAGGAAAGAUAGUCGGUCUUUGAACGGGUGAGUGAUCUUGCUGUUGCUGGGAUGCUAUUCAACAUGGGGAUUUGAUCUCCCUUGAGGUGCAGUGUAGCGAGAUAUAUGCCGCUGCCACUUGUGGAUUUAUUGUUGAGAUGGUCGCUCAACCUCAAUAUUGAUUAGUCCUUCCCCUAGAUUUUGCCCAACAUGCUCUGUAGGUCAUCAGUAAGAACAAAAAGUAUGCCUCUAAGCUGUCUGUGUUUAUUCUACAAAGUAAAUUAGUAUGGCUGCACACGGUUGACUGUUCUUGACCAGUUUUUGUAGUAAUUUGUAUGGCUGACAAAUUUCAGCAGUAAUUAACAUGGCUUCAGUCCACCGUGUCUGAUUUUCAGCAGGCCAACCUGAUUAAUGCUAGUGCAACUCAUCUUCAAAAGUACAUGGAUGCAGUGUGAAAUUUGUUCCUGCUGUUGUUGUUUAGAUAGAUCACACUAGAACAUUUUGUACGAACCACUUACUCAAGUGAGAGAGAUAGGCUUCUUCAUAGUUCAUCUAUUUCCCGGCAAAAGCAGAAAGUGUAACGCCAUUUGUUCCCUGUGUGAAUAAAUUUGUGUUCCUAUGUGAAGUAAUGUUUUGUUCCUGGACUAAGAACAUUCUGUCCUAGUGUGGAUAAUAUUUUAUUCAUCUGUGAAUUACCUUUAUUAAAAAACCAUAUUGAUUGAGAACUAAAAAGGACAUGCUUUUUUAGUAUUCUAGAA
RNAcentral lists this long non-coding RNA (1197 nucleotides) under Triticum aestivum (bread wheat). Its description in RNAcentral is "long non-coding RNA (TAES_LNC025741)". The record is from RNAcentral. Lineage: Eukaryota; Viridiplantae; Streptophyta; Magnoliopsida; Poales; Poaceae.